AGGGCCUUGAGAUAUGUUACGACAAAGCUCUUUAAUUGGGUAUUUGCUACGGUCCGGAAGAUGUGAGAUGUCAUGAAGAACUUUUUGAGAAGAUGUCUUUGCUACAGCAGUUUCAGUUUAUACGUCCUGAAAACUUGGAUAUGAAACCAGAAUAUCAGAAUGAAACAUCAUGGCUACCAGUUGAAAUUGUCGCACCCCGAUCACAUGCUAGUUUAAUCAACCGCACCAGCAGAAGAUAACUUUGACAUGGCUCUCCAAGCUGUUGCUUGAGACCCCCAACGUGAUUACAAUUAUAGCGCACUGAGCCUCUCAUGUUUCAGCUUGAAGUGAUGUAGCACAGGGAAUUGUAUUGUUUUCUGCUUUAUAUUGUUCUAUGGAAUACCGUAUUCCAAUCCUGUACACUCAAACAUCUGAUUUUGAUGUUACAUAUUGUGAUAGUGAUGGUACUGGUAUUCCAUAUUAUUUACUGUGGUGAUUAUGUUUUGGUUCUA
This is a long non-coding RNA of Lolium rigidum, 491 nucleotides long. RefSeq lists it as uncharacterized. Lineage: Eukaryota; Viridiplantae; Streptophyta; Magnoliopsida; Poales; Poaceae. The transcript is spliced from 2 exons. The record is from RefSeq and is a predicted model, not a curated record.